This 468-nucleotide ribosomal RNA is filed under the name uncultured bacterium. RNAcentral describes it as "partial 16S ribosomal RNA". It matches the Rfam family "Bacterial small subunit ribosomal RNA", at positions 28 to 507 of the family's 1533-position model. The record is from RNAcentral.
GACGAACGCUGGCGGCGUGCUUAACACAUGCCAGUCGAACGGAAAGGCCCUGCUUUUGUGGGGUGCUCGAGUGGCGAACGGGUGAGUAACACGUGAGUAACCUGCCCUUGACUUUGGGAUAACUUCAGGAAACUGGGGCUAAUACCGGAUAGGAGCUCCUGCUGCAUGGUGGGGGUUGGAAAGUUUCGGCGGUUGGGGAUGGAACCGCGGCUUAUCAGCUUGUUGGUGGGGUAGUGGCUUACCAAGGCUUUGACGGGUAGCCGGCCUGAGAGGGUGACCGGCCACAUUGGGACUGAGAUACGGCCCAGACUCCUACGGGAGGCAGCAGUGGGGAAUAUUGCACAAUGGGCGGAAGCCUGAUGCAGCAACGCCGCGUGCGGGAUGACGGCCUUCGGGUUGUAAACCGCUUUCGCCUGUGACGAAGCGUGAGUGACGGUAAUGGGUAAAGAAGCACCGGCUAACUACGUG